UACGUAGGAGACAAACGUUAUCCGGAGUUACUGGGCGUAAAGGGCGUGUAGGUGGUUGCGUAAGUCUGGCGUGAAAUAUCUCGGCUUAACCGAGGCAGGUCGUCGGAUACUGCGUAACUGGAGGACGGUAGAGGCGUGUGGAAUUCCGGGUGUAGUGGUGAAAUGCGUAGAGAUCCGGAGGAACACCAGUGGCGAAGGCGACACGCUGGGCCGUACCUGACACUGAUGCGCGACAGCAUGGGGAGCAAACAGG
RNAcentral lists this ribosomal RNA (253 nucleotides) under uncultured bacterium. Its description in RNAcentral is "partial 16S ribosomal RNA". It matches the Rfam family "Bacterial small subunit ribosomal RNA", at positions 524 to 776 of the family's 1533-position model. The record is from RNAcentral.